RNAcentral lists this ribosomal RNA (478 nucleotides) under uncultured bacterium. Its description in RNAcentral is "bacterial SSU rRNA". It matches the Rfam family "Bacterial small subunit ribosomal RNA", at positions 29 to 506 of the family's 1533-position model. The record is from RNAcentral.
AUGAACGCUAGCGGGAGGCCUAACACAUGCAAGUCGAAUGGGAUUGGGAGCUUGCUCCCAUGAGAGUGGCGCACGGGUGAGUAACGCGUAUGCAACCUACCUGUAACAGAGGGAUAGCCCAUAGAAAUGUGGAUUAAAACCUCAUAGUUCUGAAAGAUCGCAUGAUUUUUCAGAUAAAACUCCGGUGGUUACAGAUGGGCAUGCGUGACAUUAGCUAGUUGGUAAGGUAACGGCUUACCAAGGCUACGAUGUCUAGGGGUUCUGAGAGGAUGAUCCCCCACACUGGUACUGAGACACGGACCAGACUCCUACGGGAGGCAGCAGUGAGGAAUAUUGGUCAAUGGGCGCAAGCCUGAACCAGCCAUCCCGCGUGAAGGAUGAAGGUCCUAUGGAUUGUAAACUUCUUUUAUACACCAAGAAAAACUCCCACGUGUGGGAGCCCGACGGUAGUGUAUGAAUAAGCAUCGGCUAACUCCGU